UACGUAGGGGGCAAGCGUUGUCCGGAUUUAUUGGGCGUAAAGAGCGUGUAGGCGGCUGGGUAGGUCCGCUGUGAAAACUCGAGGCUCAACCUCGAGAUGUCGGUGGAAACCGUCUGGCUAGAGUCCGGAAGAGGAGAGUGGAAUUCCCGGUGUAGCGGUGAAAUGCGCAGAUAUCGGGAGGAACACCGGUGGCGAAGGCGGUUCUCUGGGCCUUACCUGACGCUGAGGAGCGAAAGCGUGGGGAGCGAACAGG
RNAcentral lists this ribosomal RNA (253 nucleotides) under uncultured bacterium. RNAcentral describes it as "partial 16S ribosomal RNA". It matches the Rfam family "Bacterial small subunit ribosomal RNA", at positions 524 to 776 of the family's 1533-position model. The record is from RNAcentral.